ACUCAAAGGAAUAGACGGGGGCCCGCACAAGCAGCGGAGCGUGUGGUUUAAUUCGAGGCUACACGAAGAACCUUACCUGGGUUUGACAUCACGGUGGUAGGGACCUGAAAGGGAACCGACCGCAAGGAGCCGUGACAGGUGCUGCAUGGCUGUCGUCAGCUCGUGUCGUGAGAUGUUCGGUUAAGUCCGAAAACGAGCGCAACCCUCGGGGGAAGUUACACGUGUCUGACCCGACUGCCUGCGAGAAGCAGGAGGAAGGUGGGGAUGACGUCAAGUCAGCAUGGCCUUUAUAUCCAGGGCUACACACACGCUACAAUGGACGGUACAGUGGGAAGCGAAGCUGUGAGGCGGAGCGGAUCCAAAAAGCCGUUCGUAGUUCGGAUUGCAGGCUGCAACCCGCCUGCAUGAAGCUGGAGUUGCUAGUAACCGCAGGUCAGCGAUACUGCGGUGAAUACGUUCCCGGGCCUUGUACACACCGCCCGU
RNAcentral lists this ribosomal RNA (483 nucleotides) under uncultured bacterium. Its description in RNAcentral is "partial 16S ribosomal RNA". It matches the Rfam family "Bacterial small subunit ribosomal RNA", at positions 899 to 1397 of the family's 1533-position model. The record is from RNAcentral.